CACACGACCGUACCGCAAACCGACACUGGUGCGCGAGAUGAGUAUUCUCAGGCGCUUGAGAGAACUCGGGAGAAGGAACUCGGCAAAUUGACACCGUAACUUCGGAAGAAGGUGUGCCUUUAGUAGGUGAACCUGUACAAGGGGAGCCCAAUGAGGUUGCAAAAAAUCGGUGGCUGCGACUGUUUAAUAAAAACACAGCACUCUGCAAACACGAAAGUGGACGUAUAGGGUGUGACGCCUGCCCGGUGCUGGAAGAUUAAGUGAUGGGGUGCAAGCUCUUGAUCGAAGUCCCAGUAAACGGCGGCCGUAACAAUAACGGUCCUAAGGUAGCGAAAUUCCUUGUCGGGUAAGUUCCGACCUGCACGAAUGGCGUAACGAUGGCCACACUGUCUCCUCCCGAGACUCAGCGAAGUUGAAAUGUUUGUGAUGAUGCAAUCUCCCCGCGGAAAGACGGAAAGACCCCAUGAACCUUUACUGUAGCUUUGUAUUGGACUUUGAACGGAUCUGUGUAGGAUAGGUGGGAGGCUUUGAAGCAGGGUCGCUAGAUCUUGUGGAGCCAACGUUGAAAUACCACCCUGGUGCGUUUGAGGUUCUAACCUAGGCCCGUUAUCCGGGCCGGGGACAGUGCAUGGUAGGCAGUUUGACUGGGGCGGUCUCCUCCCAAAGCGUAACGGAGGAGUUCGAAGGUACGCUAGUUACGGUCGGACAUCGUGACGAUAGUGCAAUGGCAUAAGCGUGCUUAACUGCGAGACUGACAAGUCGAGCAGAUGCGAAAGCAGGACAUAGUGAUCCGGUGGUUCUGUAUGGAAGGGCCAUCGCUCAACGGAUAAAAGGUACUCUGGGGAUAACAGGCUGAUACCGCCCAAGAGUUCAUAUCGACGGCGGUGUUUGGCACCUCGAUGUCGGCUCAUCUCAUCCUGGGGCUGUAGCCGGUCCCAAGGGUAUGGCUGUUCGCCAUUUAAAGAGGUACGUGAGCUGGGUUUAAAACGUCGUGAGACAGUUUGGUCCCUAUCUUCCGUGGGCGCUGCAGAUUUGAGGAAGCCUGCUCCUAGUACGAGAGGACCGGAGUGGACGCACCUCUGGUGUACCUGUUGUCACGCCAGUGGCAUUGCAGGGUAGCUAAGUGCGGAAGAGAUAACCGCUGAAAGCAUCUAAGCGGGAAACUCGUUUCAAGAUGAGAUCUGCCGGGGCCUUGAGCCCCCUGAAGAGUCGUUCUAGACCAGGACGUUGAUAGGUCAGGUGUGGAAGCGCAGUAAUGCGUUAAGCUAACUGAUACUAAUUGCUCGUGCGGCUUGACCCC
This 1300-nucleotide ribosomal RNA is filed under the name metagenome. RNAcentral's name for it is "bacterial LSU rRNA". It matches the Rfam family "Bacterial large subunit ribosomal RNA", at positions 1635 to 2925 of the family's 2925-position model. The record is from RNAcentral.